GGGCCUGUAAAGGUUUCGACGUUUGUGAGGAAAGAAAAGAAGCAUGCGGCAGAUGGUGCAGCCUGCCAUAAAAUGUACCAACCAAUAAAUGCUAACGACAACGAAUUAGCACUGGCUGCCUGAGUGCAGCCGCAAGCUCAGUGGAUAACACCGCUAUAAUCCUCUGAGUUCAAAAGAAGCGGUUGCUGACGGUAAAGUAAGUUGUUGAGAAGCCGUCCCAAGAUCAUUGACAACCCGGCCGGGUAAGGUUCGUCAGCCUUCCGCCUGACCAGAUACAAAGGCUGAAUAAGCAUGUAGAAGAGUUCCGGAAUUGCAGGCGGACACGAGUUCGACUCUCGUCAGGUCCACUC
RNAcentral lists this transfer-messenger RNA (350 nucleotides) under Lachnospiraceae. RNAcentral's name for it is "CAG-791 sp900315055 Standard tmRNA". It matches the Rfam family "transfer-messenger RNA". From Rfam's summary of the family: Bacterial tmRNA, also known as 10Sa RNA or SsrA, is named for its dual tRNA and mRNA-like properties. Its role is to liberate the mRNA from a stalled ribosome. Lineage: Bacteria; Bacillati; Bacillota; Clostridia; Lachnospirales. RNAcentral also lists the same sequence under 1 other name. The record is from RNAcentral.